AUCUCCUCAUUUCUCUGGUAAGACAUUCUGGGUCUAAUUUUAGUUUUUCUAUUUUUUAUGCUUUCAUUUUUCUUCGUAACGAUUAGUUGACCAUCAAAGAUAAAAUGGAAGUGAGUUGUGUAUUGUUUCCUACCCAAACUACUAACCAAAGGGAAUGAAUAUGAUAUUCAGCUUGUAAAUAAACUCACAUAGAUAGUAAGGAACCUGUAAUUGUGCACUGACCUUAGAUAUUAUCUAUAAUUGAUUUCUCAUUUUGCCAGAUUGUUGCAAACCUGACAUGGU
Molecule: unclassified non-coding RNA, 282 nt
Filed under: Hevea brasiliensis (rubber tree)
Lineage: Eukaryota; Viridiplantae; Streptophyta; Magnoliopsida; Malpighiales; Euphorbiaceae
Source: RNAcentral